Molecule: long non-coding RNA, 391 nt
Organism: Caretta caretta (loggerhead turtle)
Lineage: Eukaryota; Metazoa; Chordata; Testudines; Cheloniidae
Source: RefSeq, a predicted model, not a curated record
AGGUGAAGGAAGGAGGAACUUGAACUGGGGGUCUCCAACAUCUAGUUGUUUGAAUAUGAUUAUUGGACUACGAUUGGACAUUUUAAGCAGUCCAUCAUGGCACAAAAAGAAAAUGAACCUUUGCCCUACAAGAGGUAAUGAAGGAGGCAAUCUGGAGCCAGCCCCAUUGUGAAUCUCUGUCAGAAGAGUGAAGUGGCUCAUGAACAAAGACAAUGGGGCAGAGGAAGGCGGCUUUGAGUAUACCACAGCAUCAGCAACUGAGAAUGAUUCAUAGUAGAGGCACCGAAAAUUAUUGCAUUUGGGUGUUUGGUUUAUACAUUCUUUUCUGACAACUGAAAAUAAAAGUAAAAAACUGAUUAAAUGCUAAACAUUGUUCCUCAAAUAAUGUAUU